This 226-nucleotide ribosomal RNA is filed under the name Saemundssonia lari. RNAcentral's name for it is "partial 12S ribosomal RNA". Lineage: Eukaryota; Metazoa; Arthropoda; Insecta; Psocodea; Philopteridae. The record is from RNAcentral.
ACNNNNAGUACNNAGAUGCAUGGAAAAGAAUUUCUGAUGGCGGUCCUCAUUCCCUCUAGAGGCUUAUGAGAUUAAACGAAUUUGCCCGCAAAACUUCUCCCCUCUUAGACUAAAUCACCCUACCCACCACUGUCUGAAGAAUGAUUCACCAAUUUCUAACCCSUUUGUGGGNUUAAGGCAAGCAACCGUGUAGGUUAUGGAGGGGUAGAAUUGUAAGCCAAUUUUA